This 1164-nucleotide ribosomal RNA is filed under the name Triticum aestivum (bread wheat). RNAcentral's name for it is "partial small subunit ribosomal RNA". Lineage: Eukaryota; Viridiplantae; Streptophyta; Magnoliopsida; Poales; Poaceae. The record is from RNAcentral.
AUGCGCUUUGAAACAUUUAAAGAAGCAAAGGACUUGUACAACGUCUAUGCAAAGCACGUGGGUUUUGCCGUUAGGGAAGGCUCCAAGGUUAAGAGCAGAGUCUACCUUUAUUGCACGUGCGAUGGUGUCUAUGAAUCGAAGGUGUCAGAAGCAAAUAGACAGCGGAACAAGACGACAGCAAGGACUAACUGCGGGGCUAAAGUGAGGCUGAAGAGGGAAAAGGAUGGAACACUUGUCGUAAAAGAGAUAGUCUGGUAACACAACCACAGGCUACAGCUCUCACCCCAAAUGCUUGUCUUCUUGCACUCCCACAAAAACUUUGACAAAACAAUCUUGGAGUACGUCAAGUACCUGCAGUUCAAAGGCAUUGAACACACGCAAAUCAAGAGCAUACUCGGCGGUGAUGACCCCGGCCGCUACUUCCUCGAAAUGAAUGCCAAAGACCUGAUUAACAUCAAAGCAAAGAAUUCAAGGAUGGAUGAUGUGGAUGAUGUCCUAAAGACUGUCAACUUCUUUAGGGAGAUGAUAGCUAUAAACAGGGAAUUCUUCUGUGACAUGCAACCGAACGCAAGCUGCCGAGGGGCGUAUCAAGACUUUGGUGACUGCGUAACGUUUGACACCACAUAUAAGACCAACAAGUACCAUAUGCCACUUGGGGUGUUUGUGGGUACUAACAACCACUUACAGACUACAUUCUUUGCUUUCUGCCUGAUAAGAGAUGAGGAUGCAGAUUCAUUCAGAUGGUUGUUCAAGACAUUUUUAAGGUGCAUGCAUCCUCAUAGGUCUCUUUUCUCAUUACCAGACCAGUGCCCGGCAAUGGCUUUGGCGAUCCCAGAUGCUUUCAGGAACACAGUACAAAAGCUGUGCCGCUGGCACAUUAUGAAGUAGUACAGGGAACACCUCGCAUACCUGUACAACCUCCACGAAGACUUUAAGGAUGAAUUCACAUCAAUCCUCAACUGGCCCCUCAUGCCAACUGAGUUUGAGGCUGCCUGGAAAGGACUCAUGGAUACGUAGAACCUCCAUGAUGAUACCACGAUGGUGGCCAUGUGGAACGAGCGUGAGAGAUGGAUAUCAACUUACUUCAAAGAAAUUUUCUGUGCCAAAAUGACAUCCACGCAACAAAGUGAGAGCAUGAACAAUGUGCUCAAGAGAACUUCCUAA